Non-coding RNA from Hassallia byssoidea VB512170, 163 nucleotides. The record is from Rfam. NCBI's taxonomy places the organism in Bacteria, Bacillati, Cyanobacteriota, Cyanophyceae, Nostocales, Tolypothrichaceae.
AAAAUUGAAUAGGCAAAACCAAAGACAGCAGGUGUCAAUAGCUUAAUAUCCUGCCGAGGUUUGCACUUUGAUUGCUUGAAGUUGCACUUAUAAAAAGUGUGAUGACCGCAUGAGAAACAUUGCAAAACCCCGGCUGAUAUAGCUGGGGUUUGUUGUUUUGGGU